Molecule: long non-coding RNA, 417 nt
Organism: Formica exsecta
Lineage: Eukaryota; Metazoa; Arthropoda; Insecta; Hymenoptera; Formicidae
Exons: 3
Source: RefSeq, a predicted model, not a curated record
CAGUGUUCAAUAAACUGUACAUCGGUAUAUCGAGGAAUUGUUACUUCGAAGUAAUCUUCGUUUCGUGGCCUUGCAUUUCGCCUUCUAUUUUCCAGGUUAUAUGGCACUUGAUGGCCUAAAUCUUGUACCACAUUAUCUAUUAUAUCGUUUAAAUUUAAACCAUCAUCCAUCGCAAUUAAUAAUAUAGCAUCCAUCAUUUAAAUAUUUAUAUUUUACAGUAUACUUGGAAAUCUUAUUAAAACAAACACAGUUUUUUCUAUUAUAAUAUAUCGCUGUGAUCGCAGCCAUCUUGGCGGUAGCACCAUACACAAAAAGUGCGUUCAGCAGAACCAGUAAGCUGCUGGGAGCAUAGCGUAAAACGCUCACUGAGCGAUUUUCUCUGCUGAACGCGACCAAUGUAAUCGUGUGUGUGCGUGU